GCUAAAUGAUGAUUGCUCCGUACGAACUCUACUUUGCAAGGACAUCCAGUUUGCUGAAUGUCGAGGGGGUCUCUGUAGAUGCCUACCCGGGUAUAAUUCAGACGGCACGGGAUACAAUUGUACAGAAAUCGACGAAUGCCAGUCCAGCCCAUGUCUAAAUGGCGGGUCGUGCAAUAAUGAGGUCGACAGAUUCACGUGCACCUGUGAUGCCGGUUGGAAUGGAACACACUGUCAGCAAAACAUUAACGAUUGUCUACCUAACCCUUGCUCAAACGGGGCCACUUGUCAAGAUGGCGUGAACACAUUCACGUGCAAUUGUACUGCCGGAUACGCAGGUCCCCUCUGUGCCACAGAUAUCAACGAAUGCCUUUCAAGCGAAUGCAAAAAUGGCUCUACCUGUGUAGAUUUGGUUAAUGCAUACAAGUGCGUGUGCCCCACUGGAUACACCGGGGGUUUAUGCGAAACAG
Molecule: long non-coding RNA, 467 nt
Organism: Dreissena polymorpha
Lineage: Eukaryota; Metazoa; Mollusca; Bivalvia; Myida; Dreissenidae
Exons: 4
Source: RefSeq, a predicted model, not a curated record